AUAUCAAUAAGCGGAGGAAAAGAAACUAACAAGGAUUCCCCUAGUAACGGCGAGUGAAGCGGGAACAGCUCAAAUUUGAAACCUGGCGUCCUUAGGGCGUCCGGAUUGUAUUCUAGAGAAGCGUCUUCCACGCUGGUCCACGUAUAAGUGCCCUGGAACGGGCUGUCAUAGAGGGUGAGAAUCCCGUCCUUGACGUGGGCUACCAGUGUUUUUGUGAUGCGCUUUCUAAGAGUCGAGUUGUUUGGGAAUGCAGCUCAAAGUGGGUGGUAAAUUCCAUCUAAAGCUAAAUAUUGGCCUGAGACCGAUAGCGAACAAGUACCGUGAUGGAAAGAUGAAAAGCACUUUGAAAAGAGAGUCAAACAGUACGUGAAAUUGCUGAAAGGGAAACGCUUGAAGUCAGUCGUGGUGAUUUGUUCAGUCGUCUCUCUAGGCGGCGCGUUCAAUUUACCAGGCCAGCAUCGGUUUGGGCAGUCGGAUAACAGCGGAGGAACGUUGCUCCUAGGAGCGUUAUAGCCUCCGUCUACACGGCUCGUCCAGACCGAGGUCUUCUGCGUUUUUUUCACAGAUGCUGGCGUAAGGGCACCGAGCGG
This 590-nucleotide ribosomal RNA is filed under the name uncultured fungus. RNAcentral describes it as "eukaryotic LSU rRNA". It matches the Rfam family "Eukaryotic large subunit ribosomal RNA", at positions 40 to 647 of the family's 3401-position model. The record is from RNAcentral. Lineage: Eukaryota; Fungi.